UAAGAAAGAAGUACGGCAAAUUGGAAAUUCAACAAAUGGAAUGAGUGGAUGACAACUUAUCCUCACUUUCUCCCAAUGAACCCCACGUGUAGACCACUUCUCUUAUCUUUUUCUCUUCUCCACCACUCUUUUGGAGGUUGCUUUCCAGCAAUCUUAUAUGGAAGCUCUAGAUUUUCCUCUCUAUUCUUUGCCGUCAUAAAAACAAAGGUUUCAUGGUACUUGGUGGUGGACCUAGUAAUUUGACUUGCUUGCUUGUGUAAUGUCCAACUGAGGUAAAUUGGUGAACUUUAUGAGGUAAGUAUAUUUUUAAUGGGGUUUUUGUAAAACAAUCAUUAUUGCACAUUUGCACUCAAUUAUUUUAUGGUUAAACCCCAAUUUGGAACAUUGUCCUUGGUUUUCCUAAAAUGUACUAUGUGUACUAUUCUUGUUAGUUAAUCGUUUAUGGAAAAUGCAGGAAACAUGGCCAGUAAAUUUAUAUUUGAAAUUGCAUAUAAAGAAAUGCAUGAUUUGUUGGCAUGAAAAUUCUAAAGAUGUUUUAUAUUGACUUGUGUUAUUUGGAAAAUUGAUAGAAAAUUUCCUGACAAAGAAUGGUUUUGAAAUAUUGGUUAUUGAAGGUUUUCUUGGAAUUACUUGGAAAUAUGUUAUGAAAUUUAAUUACAUCAUACUUGUGAGCUCAUUAUGUUGUUCGUGCGUGUGUGCUGUGAAUAUGUGAUAAUUGUGAUUACCCAAUUGGAUGCAGCAGUCUUUGUGACGUUGGCAUGGAAGCACUUAAGUCUUUGUGACACGGUGGCCCAAUAAUUGCAGUCUUUGUGACAUGGCCAGUAGCACAACACCCAAGUCUUUGUGAUACGGUGGUUUAUAUGGUGACACCUGCGUCUAUGUGAGACAAUGGCCAGUAACUAGUACUUGCAGUCUUUGUGACAUGGCCAGUGGUGCAACACCUGAGUCUUUGUGACAUGAUGGCUUAAUAUAAUGACACCUGAGUUUGUGUGACAUGAUAGCUAGUACCUAUUACUUGCAGUCUUUGUGUGGCACUUGAGUCUGUGUGACACUGUAGCCAAUGCCUGGUACUUGCGGUCUUUGUGACACAGCUAGUAUCAUGACACUUGAGUUCAUGCAACUUGUCUAUGUGACAUUGGUGACUAGAUAUAUUAGCCUAUGUGGAGUCUAGAAAAUGUUGGAUUCUAUUGGAGGUUUAGAUCUGACAUAAAGACUUUUUUGGAGUUCCAAAUCGAUAAUUGACCUGAAUUCUAUACAAACUCAACCUGUUCUUUGUUCCAAGCCAUGUAAGGAAAUAUACAUUUUAUAUUUUGAAAUAGGU
Long non-coding RNA from Quercus lobata, 1321 nucleotides. RefSeq lists it as uncharacterized. The transcript is spliced from 2 exons. NCBI's taxonomy places the organism in Eukaryota, Viridiplantae, Streptophyta, Magnoliopsida, Fagales, Fagaceae. The record is from RefSeq and is a predicted model, not a curated record.